UGGUGCUGGCUUUCAAGUCUCCUCCAAAUGCAACUGACCCAGGUCUGCCUGUCCUCCAUUAGCUUUUGCUCGUUGGAGAGGGAUAACACACCGCUAAGAAAAAGACUUGUUCUGAGAGUGAGGACUGCCCCCGGAUUUUGUAACCAGUUGCAACCACCUGAAAGCAGCUCUGGGGAAGAGGUCAUUGAAGAGUCUUUCCACUGCCUCAAAUGGAAAAGAGCAGCAGGUUUGGUUGCUGGCAGGGGACAAAGGUGGACUCAGGCAGGAGGUGGAAAGCGAAGUAAAUGAACUCUGGGGUGGUGUCUCCCAACUCUCACUUCCAGCUCUCCUGUGUUUGUAGACUCUGUGUUCCUAAACAAGGGAAAAUACAGCCACAACCUCCAAAGGACAAGUGCUUAUUCAUUCCUUUAAUUUAUCUUUAUUGAGGAUGUUCCAUGUACAGUGGAAGAAAAAUUGAAAGUGAAUAAAGGAAGCUGAAGAUGUUUAAAGAU
RNAcentral lists this long non-coding RNA (491 nucleotides) under Homo sapiens (human). RNAcentral's name for it is "long non-coding RNA NONHSAT185283.1". Lineage: Eukaryota; Metazoa; Chordata; Mammalia; Primates; Hominidae. The record is from RNAcentral.